RNAcentral lists this ribosomal RNA (445 nucleotides) under uncultured bacterium. RNAcentral describes it as "bacterial SSU rRNA". It matches the Rfam family "Bacterial small subunit ribosomal RNA", at positions 227 to 695 of the family's 1533-position model. The record is from RNAcentral.
GGACCCGCGGCCCAUUAGCUUGUUGGUGAGGUAACGGCUCACCAAGGCUAUGAUGGGUAGCCGGCCUGAGAGGGUGUACGGUCACACUGGGACUGAGAUACGGCCCAGACUCCUACGGGAGGCAGCAGUGAGGAAUAUUGCGCAAUGGGCGAAAGCCUGACGCAGCGACGCCGCGUGGACGAUGAAGGCCUUCGGGUUGUAAAGUCCUGUCAGGAGGGACUGACGGUACCUCGGAGGAAGCUCCGGCUAACUACGUGCCAGCAGACGCGGUAAGACGUAGGGGGCAAGCGUUGCCCGGAAUCACUGGGCGUAAAGAGCUCGUAGACGGUCUGUUUGGUCGGAUGUGAAAGCCCUCGGCUCAAACCGAGGAUUGCAUUCGAUACUGGCAGGCUAGAGUCUAGCAGAGGGAAGUGGAAUUCCCGGUGUAGCGGUGAAAUGCGCAGAU